This 860-nucleotide ribosomal RNA is filed under the name uncultured Acidobacteriota bacterium. RNAcentral describes it as "bacterial SSU rRNA". It matches the Rfam family "Bacterial small subunit ribosomal RNA", at positions 58 to 895 of the family's 1533-position model. The record is from RNAcentral. Lineage: Bacteria; Pseudomonadati; Acidobacteriota.
CAAGUCGAACGCGAAAGUGGAGCAAUCCAUGAGUAGAGUGGCAAACGGGUGAGUAACGCGUGGGUGACCUGCCUUCGAGUGGGGGAUAACGUUCCGAAAGGGACGCUAAUACCGCAUGACAUCCGGCCUUUGAAGAGGCGGAGAUCAAAGCUGGGGAUCGCAAGACCUAGCGCUCGAUGAGGGGCCCGCGUCUGAUUAGCUAGUUGGUGGGGUAACGGCUCACCAAGGCAACGAUCAGUAUCCGGCCUGAGAGGGCGGACGGACACACUGGGACUGAGACACGGCCCAGACUCCUACGGGAGGCAGCAGUGGGGAAUUGUUCGCAAUGGGCGCAAGCCUGACGACGCAACGCCGCGUGGAGGAUGAAGAUCUUCGGGUCGUAAACUCCUUUCGAUCGAGACGAACAGCCUUCGGGUAAACAAUCCGGAGGUCUGACGGUACCGAGAGAAGAAGCCCCGGCUAACUCCGUGCCAGCAGCCGCGGUAAUACGGGGGGGGCAAGCGUUGUUCGGAAUUACUGGGCGUAAAGGGCUCGUAGGCGGCCAACUAAGUCAGACGUGAAAUCCCUCGGCUUAACCGGGGAACUGCGUCUGAUACUGGAUGGCUUGAGUUUGGGAGAGGGAUGCGGAAUUCCAGGUGUAGCGGUGAAAUGCGUAGAUAUCUGGAGGAACACCGGUGGCGAAGGCGGCAUCCUGGACCAACACUGACGCUGAGUGAGCGAAAGCCAGGGGAGCAAACGGGAUUAGAUACCCCGGUAGUCCUGGCCCUAAACGAUGAAUGCUUGGUGUGGCGGGUAUCGAUCCCUGCCGUGCCGAAGCUAACGCAUUAAGCAUUCCGCCUGGGGAGUACGGUCGCAAGGCU